AAAUAAUCCACUUAUGAAAUGUUUCCUUUUUACUUCCAAUUCUCAGGUGUCCUAUAUUAGUCAAGACUGUGAAGAAAUUCCAGAAUUCCUAGGAAGAAAAUAUGGACAUAUGGCAAAAAGGCUAGAUCUUAGCUUCAACUUGUUAAGUAUUUCCUCGUCACUGCUGUUGUGAAACAAGAGUGAAGGACUGCAGAAAUAACUGUUGUCUGAGGACAAGGAGCUUGACUGGAGGGAAGAACCUGCAUUAACCCUGGACCUAUUGUCUAUUUCUUUUCCUCUCUGUUUUGCUGAAAGGUGUCUUCUCUCCCUAAUGCAGUACACAAGAUUCCCAGCAUCUGGUUGCAGAUGUAAAGAACUUCACUAGCUUUGCUUACCAAUCACUGAGUAGGAAGAGUCUCUGUCCUCCAGUAUUCAACAAACCUGCUGAGUGGUUAUGGUACAAAUAACUAGCUGGCAUUUUGCAGGUAAAAUCCUUACAAAGC
RNAcentral lists this long non-coding RNA (482 nucleotides) under Strigops habroptila (Kakapo). Its description in RNAcentral is "lncRNA (ENSSHBG00005020778.1)". The record is from RNAcentral. Lineage: Eukaryota; Metazoa; Chordata; Aves; Psittaciformes; Psittacidae.